AUUGAACGCUGGCGGCAGGCUUAACACAUGCAAGUCGAGCGGUAGCACAGGGGAGCUUGCUCCCUGGGUGACGAGCGGCGGACGGGUGAGUAAUGUCUGGGAAACUGCCUGAUGGAGGGGGAUAACUACUGGAAACGGUAGCUAAUACCGCAUAACGUCGCAAGACCAAAGAGGGGGACCUUCGGGCCUCUUGCCAUCAGAUGUGCCCAGAUGGGAUUAGCUAGUAGGUGGGGUAAUGGCUCACCUAGGCGACGAUCCCUAGCUGGUCUGAGAGGAUGACCAGCCACACUGGAACUGAGACACGGUCCAGACUCCUACGGGAGGCAGCAGUGGGGAAUAUUGCACAAUGGGCGCAAGCCUGAUGCAGCCAUGCCGCGUGUGUGAAGAAGGCCUUCGGGUUGUAAAGCACUUUCAGCGAGGAGGAAGGUGGUGAGCUUAAUACGUUCAUCAAUUGACGUUACUCGCAGAAGAAGCACCGGCUAACCCCGUG
This 490-nucleotide ribosomal RNA is filed under the name uncultured bacterium. Its description in RNAcentral is "partial 16S ribosomal RNA". It matches the Rfam family "Bacterial small subunit ribosomal RNA", at positions 30 to 507 of the family's 1533-position model. The record is from RNAcentral.